GAUGAACGCUGGCGGCGUGCCUAAUACAUGCAAGUCGAGCGAACAGACGAGGAGCUUGCUCCUCUGACGUUAGCGGCGGACGGGUGAGUAACACGUGGAUCACCUACCUAUAAUAGUGGGAUAACUUCGGGAAACGGGAGCUAAUACCGGAUAAUCUAUUGAACCGCAUGGUUCAAUAGUGAGAGACGGCUUUGCUGUCUCUUAUAGCUGGAUCUGCGCUGCAUGAGCUAGUUGGUAAGGUAACGGCUUAUCAAGGCAACGAUGCGUAGCCGAACUGAGAGAGUGAUCGCCCACACUGGAACUGAGACACGGUCCAGGCUACUGAGGGAGGCAGCAGUAGGGAAUCUUAGGCAGUGGGCGAAAGCCUGACGCAGCAACGCCGCGUGAGUGAUGAAGGUCUUCGGAUCGUAAAACUCUGUUAUUAGGGAAGAACAAAUGUGUAAGUAACUAUGCACGUCUUGACGGUACCUAAUCAGAAAGCCACGGCUAACUACGUG
RNAcentral lists this ribosomal RNA (497 nucleotides) under uncultured bacterium. Its description in RNAcentral is "partial 16S ribosomal RNA". It matches the Rfam family "Bacterial small subunit ribosomal RNA", at positions 28 to 507 of the family's 1533-position model. The record is from RNAcentral.